GCAACUCGCCUGCAUGAAGUCGGAAUUGCUAGUAAUCGUGGAUCAGCAUGCCACGGUGAAUACGUUCCCGGGCCUUGUACACACCGCCCGUCACACCAUGGGAGUCGGUAACACCCGAAGCCUGUAGUCUAACCGCAAGGAGGACGCAGUCGAAGGUGGGAUUGAUGACUGGGGUGAAGUCGUAACAAGGUAAC
Molecule: ribosomal RNA, 194 nt
Filed under: uncultured bacterium
Lineage: Bacteria
Description: partial 16S ribosomal RNA
Rfam family: Bacterial small subunit ribosomal RNA
Source: RNAcentral